Silurus meridionalis is the source of this 580-nucleotide long non-coding RNA. RefSeq lists it as uncharacterized. Lineage: Eukaryota; Metazoa; Chordata; Actinopteri; Siluriformes; Siluridae. The record is from RefSeq and is a predicted model, not a curated record. The transcript is spliced from 3 exons.
GAAACAGAAACAGCUGUGUAGGAGCUUUAAUCUCUGCUACUGAGGUGAGGUUGUGGAGGACAGUUUCAUGUCACAAGACCUACACUAUAGCAAGGCUGAGCACAGCAACAAGAUCCAAGGCAACAGUGAAGUCCUGGAAGUGAGUUUUGGCCUACUCAUCUCAACAUCAUCGUGUCUGUCUGGGAUUCCAUGAAGAGACAGAAGGAUUUGAGGAGCCUCCAUCCACAGAAGAUCUGAGACAUCCUGGGCUUUAAAUGCUGUACUGCUGUACAACCUCCUGCAGGAGAGCAUGCAUAUGACACGUGAGCUACUCAUAUGAUUUGUCUGUGAAAGUUUGAAAGGUGAAGAGAAGAAUAAAGGGAAUAAAGCACACCUCUGGGUGUAAUGGAGUGGAGUGAAGAUGGUGGUUUUUUCUCCCUCUCUGGUUGGGAUUGUGUUGUUAGUAAGGUGAGCACGUCUCUGUGAGGCAGAAGGUCAGCUCCUGCAUCCUGCACUGUGUGAUGGAGAGAGAAACACUCUGUCCUUCAGCACGUCAGGAUGAGUGUGUGGUGGUGUGUUCUUCUGCUCAGUGCAGUUUAAA